Molecule: long non-coding RNA, 924 nt
Organism: Capsicum annuum
Lineage: Eukaryota; Viridiplantae; Streptophyta; Magnoliopsida; Solanales; Solanaceae
Exons: 2
Source: RefSeq, a predicted model, not a curated record
UAUACAACAAUAAUAUAAUUUCUAUACAAAUUCUAUACAGUUUGUAUACCACAUCAGAAAACCUAUGCAUAAAUAGUUACUAUACCAUAGUUAAACCGUCCUUAUACCACUUUUUUUUAAAAUUGAAAUGGCCAAAUGGCCUUUUAUUAGAAACAAAAAGAAAUAUUUACAAAAAGUUGAAUUGGGCCUAUACCCACCCGGGUGACCCAUCAAACAGUAAAACAUUAAAACAAUUCAAUCUAAGGAAAAUUCUAGAAAAUCCACAAUAAGAAAGAAAAAGAAAAAAUCCAAAAAGGAAAGUAGGGAAUUGGAUCAACUCUUCUUCAUCAGCUUCCUUGUGUACCAGCAGAGCACCUCAAUCGAUUUCAGCAGCAAACAAAGAAAUCAUCAAGCUAUUAAAGCUGAAGAGCAGUGAAAAAUGAUGAGUUUUGGGGAUUUUCAUUAUAGACGUUCCAGAGUCUCACGAACAUCAUGAAGUCGACCCAAUUGAAGACUUCUUCAACUCAUCAAACAACCGAUUUGAGCUUCUCUAACCAGAUGAGUGUAUUUCCCUUACAGUCGAUGGCUUACUUAGAAGUGCCUGCUUCACCCACUGGAUAAUCUGCUAAUAAAACAUGUCUACAGGGAACAAAAUAAAUUGGCAAAUGCGCUGGCAAAAAUAAAUGUAAAUACUACUACUUUUGCUGCACUGCAUCUAUUUUGGGUUCCUCCACCAUCCAUAAAGGAUGCUUUGGAAGCUGAUAAAUGGGAGGACUAUCUAUUAGAAGGGUUAUGACUCAAGCACCCACACACUCCUUGUAUAAUACUAAUGCUCCUAGUUAUUGGACUGUAACUACUAGCUCUAGCAAUGCUACUGCUCUCACCAGUGUUUGGACAGUGGCUAUGCCACAAACUAUUCCUAUGUAGACACUGCUUGUUUCCCUA